UACGGAAGGCAGCAGUGGGGAAUAUUGCACAAUGGGCGCAAGCCUGAUGCAGCCAUGCCGCGUGUAUGAAGAAGGCCUUCGGGUUGUAAAGUACUUUCAGUCGUGAGGAAGGUGUUAAGGUUAAUAACCUUAGCAAUUGACGUUAGCGACAGAAGAAGCACCGGCUAACUCCGUGCCAGCAGCCGCGGUAAUACGGAGGGUGCGAGCGUUAAUCGGAAUUACUGGGCGUAAAGGGCACGCAGGCGGUUAAUUAAGUUGGAUGUGAAAUCCCCGGGCUUAACCUGGGAAUGGCAUUCAAGACUGGUUAGCUAGAGUCUUGUAGAGGGGGUAGAAUUCCAUGUGUAGCGGUGAAAUGCGUAGAGAUGUGGAGGAAUACCGGUGGCGAAGGCGGCCCCUGGACAAAGACUGACGCUCAUGUGCGAAAGCGUGGGGAGCAAACAGGAUUAGAACC
This 451-nucleotide ribosomal RNA is filed under the name uncultured bacterium. RNAcentral's name for it is "bacterial SSU rRNA". It matches the Rfam family "Bacterial small subunit ribosomal RNA", at positions 340 to 785 of the family's 1533-position model. The record is from RNAcentral.